GUGUGUGUGUGUGUGUGUAUUGACUUCUAGUUUGGUAAUAGGCUUGGAAAAAAUAAAAAAGUCUCAUUAAUCAGCCUAUGUGAUGUUCAACUCAUUUCCCCUUUACUUCCCCACACUUCUUCGAGGGUAUUAAGCAUUGAAUCUCAGCAGCACCAGCAGAAACCUACCUCUUUUCUUGUUGAAUCAUUUUCCGGAAUUUAAGAAUUGAAGUAGCACCACCUAUUAACAAAGGAGCACAUAUAAUGCACUUAAUGGAAAAGCUCCUGGUGAGUUCUUGGAUAAGUUCUGUGCUUAAUUUUUGUCCUAAAGUUAAGUCUCUUUGAAACUUUGAAAUCAGUCCACUGAACCUAAGCAGGUAAGCAAGCACAUUACAUUCCCUUCUUUAUAAUUAAUUUACAGAUGCACAGAUUUGAAAACCUGAAAACAUCUUGGGUUUGUAGCAUAGGCCAUAACAUUUCACAAAGCUACUGGUGUAUGAAAGUUGUUCAUGUACAUAGUAAUAUACAGCCACCAAAUAAUGCAAAAUUCCCUGUUGACUAGAUCCUCACUGACUAGAUAUUCAUUGACCUAUUUCAAGGCUGAAAGUUGUUCAUUUUAUUUUACAGCAAUAAAGUGUUGCAGAAUUCAUGAAGUGUUAAAAAUAUGUCAAUAUCCUUUACCCUGGAAUAUGUGCUACAAUUCAAGAAGCCUUUCUAUAUGAAAAGAUUUAACUCACGAUUUCAUGAGUUUUAUUAACUCAGUGAACUAUUUUGACAACUGGAAGGUUCUAAAGUAUGCUGGCCUAUUUCUUUUCACAAUUAAGAAAAGCCAUGUAACUGAAGUCUGCUUCACAGCAAAUGUGAGAAUCCACCUGACAUACUGCAGUUAUUAGAACAUUUAAAACCACAGUAAAUUUCAACUAUUUUAUCUGUCCAUCAAAGAGCUUGUUGAAAAACAUCUUGACAUUUCAAACUUGUUCAUAAAUUCUACAUAAUUUGCUGUGUUUUCCUACUUGGCCCUUCUUUGUGCUUGGUGGACUGUACUCUGUCCUGCAGUAACUUAUAGUUGCGACUCCCAAAGAAUGUCCUUCACUAAAAUCAGUCUCACUAAAAUCUGUUCAUUUUUUAUGGUAAUUUCUUAAUCUGGCAUGCUGAGCAAUCCUAAAGUGCUGAGCAAUCCUAAAGUGCUGAGCACAACUUUUAACACUAUAUGAAUAUUAACUUAAUCAAAAUCAUUACUCAGAACAUCUUUCAGCAUUAAAAAGUGUCUGGCAGCAAUAUUUACUUUAAAAAUUAUGUCUCUGCUGUUUGUUCUUCCUCAAAGCAAUCCAGUAAAGCAGCUAAGAGGAAAGGCACACAGGCUUCAGUUUGAUGCUGUAUGGAGCUUCUGGUCAGCUAAAAGCACAGCCAGGACUUCCCUCCAUCUUGCCUAUAUAUCAGGCUGUGCUUGCUGGCCUCCUCUUACAGGGCUCUGAGAGCAUGAUUUCAGGUACUCUCAGUAGGGUGUGGAGUCAUUUGCUCACAAAAAUCAAACAGGAAGGCUAAGCAAUGCAGAAGUUAGCCAUGACUUUUAAAUUUUAAUUUAAAUUACUUACAGAUGUUUUGGGGAUGAUUUUGUAUAAAUUAUUUAGCUGGCACAAUAGGAUACAUAUUUUGGAGAAGUACUACUUUGAUCUGGGUUAUGUAUGAAUAGCUGGUUUCUUUGCAUCAACACUUCCCUAAGCACAUCUGUAAAUUAAGCAUUCAAAUAUGUAAGCUCACAGCAUACCAUAAAAUAGAAAUGUUUCAGACUGCACUGUAACUUUCCACAGGGACUUCACAUAAUCAAAGUAAAAGUACAAGUGCUGACCCAACUAUUUGAUUUAAGACUUGGAAAGGGAGAGGGAGAGUAGAGGUAUCAGUGUCAGCAGGCGGUUCAUAAUCCAAAUAAACUUCCAAAUGAAAACAAUAUGGAAAAUCUCUGUACCUUAAGGGCAGAACAGCUUUGCUGUAUAAAGCAUUUUAUUUGGUCUGUUAUGGUUUUCUCUGCAGAACAAAAAUAUCACUGUCUGCUGGCUUAAUGGAGAACAGUUGGAUCAUAAAAAUAUCAAAUGCAUGUAUUUGGCAACCACUAAUAAUCUACACAUAUUUAUGUAACUGCAAUUUUUUUUUCUUUUGGAAUAUACCGUCUGGAAAUAUAGCCUGAGGCUUCCUCAGAUCUCCUGGAAAGAAUUAGCAUUCAUAUCACCUCUGCAAAAAUAUGUUAUGUCAAGCAGGUUACUUUUUCCUAAGUUCUUUGAAGGUUUUUUGCUGUUGGUGGUGGUUUAUUAUUAUUAUUAUUAUUAAUAUUCAAUAUUCUUCAUUCAUAUAUGUUCAUUUGGUAUUAUUGUUAUUAUUAUUAUUAUAGCUUUACUUAUUCACAGCUAACACAGAUGUUUACAUUACAAGGAAGCUCUAACAUCUGCUUUCCAGUGACCAUCAAACAAGUGAAUUAGUAAGUAUGGAACAUAUUGUGACUAUGUUUUGAAUGCUUAAAAAUGGAAGCAUUUAGUACUUGCCUUCAGAGCUUUUGGGCCCCAGAGAAAAAGGAUGUUACUAAUGAAUUUCUGGUAGUUUAGAAUGCUUACAGAAAGCAGCACUACCUAGCUUACAAAUUCUGAAUUUCCCAAUUGCUUAAAAGGAAAUGUAGUUGUUUGCUAGAAUUAACUAAGGCAUUACUUAUGAGAAUUAUUUCUAUUAAUGGAGUCACAGAAAAGCUUUUCUACAAGGUGAUAGAUGCAUAUUUUACUUGCAUAGUUCAUAUGCCCUCAGAAGAAUCCAAAUCUUUCCGGCAAUCUAGCUCUAAUACUUUUACUUAGUACUAUUGUUCCCUAACAGAUACAAAUCUGCUAUGUGACUUACAGAUAUGAUCUUGCCUUUUGUCUAGAAAAAUAAUAAGCCCAACAGUACAGAAUCAUGUUAGACACCCACUGACUUUAUUAAGGUCACUGGCAAUAUUGCUUUAAAUUUCAGUGAAACUAUUUUUUUUUUUUUCUCUAAAGACUUUUAAAAUUUGGUUUAAAAUCUCUAAAUGAUAAAUAUAUCUACUAAAAAUAAUUUGACAUGUUUUUCUUUCAACUAUCAGAUUUUCUAUCCAGUUGGAGCCCUUUUCAUAGAAACUGAACAUGAUUACUUGUAGCCACUAAAACAACCAUUUUAUCUAAUACUGUUUGUAUAGCCAUUUCUUUCUUCACCAUAAUUUGCUCUUUCUUUAUAGGCAUUUGCUUGAAGCUGUAGAUUUUAUAAUUUGAGAAUGUGUGUUGGAAAGUUCUAGACUAAUGAGCAUCUACAUUAAUUUUGGGGUACGGAAGGGAUUUAAUCCUUAAACAGGAAGAAAGAAUAUAUGAAUAUCAUUGAGAAACUGCAAAGGGUACUGCCUUUAUGUGGAUUAAACUAAUUAAACCAAUACGAUGGUAAGUAUCUGCACUAAUUCUUAGUGAAAUUCUUAGGGACCACUUAUAAAAGUUGCUUGCAGAAUCUCGAAUUCUGUAGGAAUACUUUAGUUUAAGUGCCAAGUAGUUUUGCAAAUAGCAUCCAGCUGUCUGAGUCUUCCUGCAGACUUUUUACCUAGUCUCUUCUUAUUUUCUGAUCUUGAAGACUGCCCAUUUUGUUCUAAAGCUCAAGGAAAAAAAUUUUGCUCAUUGGUGUUAAUCGAAAAGACAGUGGUAGAUAAGGAGCACUUGGCUUCACAUACCUCUGUAACAUUUUAAUAACUCAUAGAAUUUAUGAAAACUUUGAUGUUUUUGCCUUUCUGAGGCCAAAACUUUAUUACGACUGGGGAUAUUCAUUUGUAGCUUGCAUGCAGUUGGUGAGGUCUUCUGGGAUGAUUACUGAGCUAGAGAUCAAAAAUGCAUCAUCACUUAAAAUGGGGCCAUACGAUGCUUCUGAAAGGCAAUCAGACCUGCUCUAUCUGGUGUCCUCUGAAAGACAGAAGAUUCCUUCAGAGCUGUCUCUCUUUAGAAAGAAAAUGCAUUCCGCCUGGCUCUUGCAUGCUUUGUUCUGGCUUUUGUGAUCUUCACUUUCAGUGUUCCCUGAAAAAUAUCACUGUUUCUGUGAUUUAUAGAUCAAAAUGCAUUCUCUUAUGUAGCUGGAGCUUGAUCCCUUAACUGAAAACUUGAACCAAGGCUUUCAGCUGGUAUAGAACUGGAUGCCAGUUGACAGUUUUCUGCAUCAGCUUCAUAUUCUUUCUUAAUCCACAACCCUGGAAGAAGGAGGGCAGUCACAAAGGCUCCACAGGCACCACAGAUGCCUUUAAGCCAUUUUGGCUUUCAGAUUUGCCUAUGAAUUAUAUACAUAGAAUACAGAAGUAAAAAUGUCUGAAUCAGUGUAAUUGCAAUCAUCAAAAAGAAACAUAGCAGAUACGUCAACUGUGUAAGUAAUACAGCACUACAGGCAUGUCCAGCUAAGGUUAAAGAAGGUAGAGCUCUCUUGACACUGGACACAGGUUGUUUCUUCCAAGUGUACAUAAGUUGCUGAAAUUCUUUGCUUUGGUUUAUGCUCAGAGACAUUUGGGAUACUUUAAAAAUUGAUGUUCUUAUUAUUUUGUUAUUUUGCCGAGGGAGAGAGCACUGGAACAUAGUGUUACAGUAGCAUAUAACUUUCCAUUUUGAACUCUGAUUUUAUGUUUUGCUUUUGAUAGAAUUUUGCAAUUCAAGAUAUUCUCACUAAUCAACUGAAACAAUAUUAGUAUGUGUAAACACAAAAAUAUAUUUGAUUGUAGUGCGUGUAACUGUGAUUAGAUUUCAUUAGCACAUUCAUUCUGUCUGCUUCCAGAAAAAAAAACAAAAGCAACAACAAAAAAACCCCAAUCUUUGGCUAUGAAUGUUAACUUGAUAUUCAGAGAUACAAUUCAACGUUUAUUAUAUAUAACUCACUUCAGUGCACAAGAAGAAAGUCUGAUACCUAAAAGUGUACUUAUGUCAGUACAUCUCAGCUUAAUUUUCUAUUUAUAUCCCCCCCUUCAAACUAUAGUUGAAAACUGGAAAAGGGAUGAAAUAGUGCAAUUACAUUUUGUAGAUCAACUAGCUGAUUCCAUGUUUAUAACCCUUAUUAACCUGACAAGGAGGAGUGGAAUGGCCAGCAAAUCAUAUGCAGGAUUGUAAAUGUCAAAGUAUGAGCAUAGUACCAUAAUUACCAAAGCACAUCAGGUAUUAUUAGAAUUUUGAUAGUUCCCUCUUCUGACAAAUAUGGUAAUGAAAAUAGAAAAUAUACAAAAUUGAUUUAUUUUCAUGAUGAAAAUAGUAAUGAUAUGAGAUGAUUACAUCCAAUUUGCAGUCUCAAAUUUGUCAUUUCCCAUUGGACUGGACCAGAAAUCUUAGUAGCUUAAUUAAAUCAGUAAUAAUAAUUCCUCCUCCCUAUCCCCUUCUGCUCAGAAGAGGGAAACCUUAAUGGAAAGGCAAGAACAUUUCCGCAAUAAAAGUUGCCUUGAGCUUUUUACUCAAAACAGUGAUUAAGCAUUUUAUUAUAUACUUUUAUCUGUGCUCUUAACCACUGAUAUUUCAGAGACUGAAUCAGUCUUCAGAAGAAAUCUUAAGAAAUAUUAAAUAUUUACCUAAAGACUUGUUACAUAUAUUGCAUGAGAAAACUUGAAAGGUUUUUUUUUUCCUAAACUCUAUACCAAUGUUCUUUUUCUUAGACUGGUAAUAGAAUAUGUAUAUUGAUUUUUGAAGAAGUGAUCAAAUAACAAUAUUUGGCCUUAUAUUGUGAACUUACUAGUGCAGCAUUUCUGAAAGGUUUUUAUCAUAACUGACAUUCUAUUCAAAAAUAAUAUGUUAAAAAAUACUGUUAAAAAAUCCAGAAAUCAAGAUUUUAAUUAGUCAGCUAAAAGCACUCAUAUUUGUUUACUCUUCUACUGUGGAAAGUCCAGUAAAAAUGAAGCAUUCAGUAGAUAUUAAAAAUCUGUCCACCUCCAUUAUUUAGGCUUAUUAUUCAGUGGUUCAUUCUUCAAUAAGUAGGACAAAGUUCAUGUAGGAAAUAAACAGACAAUUGAUAGAGCUUUCUGAUCAAAUCUCAUAUAGUAGCAACAACCAGUUUGCCUUUGCUUUUUGAUAUCAUUUUUAUUUUUCUCUCUCCUUUUCUCAGGAACAAGACUAUAAGAGUAGCUAAUUUAAUUCUUUGUGGUUCUCUGAAACCAGUAUGAAGCUAUGAUUCAAGUUAACAUUGUUACCAUCAUCCCCAUCUAAUCUGGGGUAAUCAAUUUAAUCUUUUUCUUUUUCUUUUCUUUUUUUUUCAGUGAGUUCCUCUGAUAAACUUCUGUCUAAGAAACUGUUUCUGUCAAUAUUUUAAUGUGACACGGAUGAACAGGAGGAAGAUGUGGAGUCUAAUCUCAGCAGAUGGUUGUCAAAACUGCACAGAGUGACUGAGAAUGCAGAAAAAAAUAAGAGGAGAGUUUCCUCCAUUUUGUUUUUAUGUCAUGAAUAGUGAAUAAAUCAUAUAUUAUUGACAAAUACAAAAUAAUAAAAACUAGAUAAAGUGAAAAGAAUGAAAACAAUUUUGCUGAAAAUGUAUUUUGCAGAUAACUGUAUGUGAUUACUCAUAGACAUUAAAUGAAUGUUGAUUUGACUAAAAACAAUAAAAAUGGACAUAUGCAUUGUAUUUAUGCAUUGAUAAUCUCAUCUUGGAGAUAUUACAAGAAUGAUUCCUGUUGACAAGAAAAGAAGAAUGUCUUUCAAGCUGUUACUUAGUUACUGACAAAUCAAGUAUGUCAAUUGGACACAAGGAUGGGCAAAGCAGACUUGUAAGACAGAUAGGCUGCUAUAAGUUUUACAUCUGAUUGUGGCUGGAAAUCUGAAUGUUAACUCAAACUUUUCUCUCCAUUUAUAGACUUCAUAUUCUUAUUCAUUGAACUAUACCCUGUGUCUUGAUUUGUGCCAGAAAAAAAAUGGAUUAGAACUCUUUUCUUAUUUGAAAAAGUUUCUAGAUAUAGACCUGUACUAUUUAUUUUCUGUGUAGUUGGAAUGUAGACAUCAAAAACAGACACUUGAACUAACGAAACAAGAUAUUUCUACCAGCCUUUUUGAAUAGUGUUUGAUUGCUUUACAAUAUUUUUCUGUGUAAAUGUGCAUCUAUUGUAUUUUGAUUAUCAUACAGGCAAAAGUCAUUUCUUAGUGGAUUUUUUUAUAAACAGGCUAGGACUAUGUAAGUGACUUAGUGUCACUACUGAAUGUGUUUGUUGUUAUAGGGUUACUAAUCCUCCCACUUCAGCAGAAUUUAUCUGACUCGUGGAAUAGAGGGACUGCAACAGGAAUUUCAAGUUAAGUGGGUGCCUUUGAAUGGUGUCAAAUCAAGGACUUUCACUGACUCAUUAAUAAAUACGCUUUACAUUAAGCAUCGUUGUAUUACGUUUAGUAUAUGUUAAACAUACAUAAUGUAAUUCUACAGUAAUUAUAAUAAUAGUAAAGGAUAAAAUUACUUUAGGAAGAAAUGAAACUGACUUUCUGCUGAUUUGUAGUGUAUGGUUGUUUUUUGUUUGCUUGUUUGUUUAUUUUUCAUUCCUUUUGCCAUUCUGGAGUCUGUUCCCAACAAUUUUCAAUUACAAUUGCCUCCUACUAAAAAAGUAAAGAAGCUGCAGUUUUUAUAUAUAAGCAUUCUUGUUCAAAAGUCAAAGGUUAAUUUGAAUACUGAAAAUCUGUACACAGCCUUGGCAGCUUAACAGGUAUUUUGAGCACUUGUAAACUAAUUUAUACUGGAAAGAAUAAAAAUUACAAGGGUUACUAAUCUUCAUGCUGAAAUCAUUAAGAUAAUUACCACUAACCGUUUUAUUAUCCAAGUAUAUCAAGGGAAAUGUAGUUGAAUCCUGAAGCAAUGAAUGAAAAAAAAGAAGAGUAGGUAUGUACCAAUCUGCAAUUUGAAUGACAUGUUGAAAAACAGAUGCUUGUGCAUGUGUCUUGUACUGGUACAUAACUUUUCUAUAAGUAAACUUAAAAGGUGUGUCUGUUAAGUGGCAUACUGUCUCUGCGAGAUCUAUUAUUUCUUAAAACUUUGCUAUGUCAAGACUCCUUUUCUGGUACUUUCCACCUAUUGCAGUUCUCCUGUAUCCGAUUUGAUUUACAAGUCUUCCUCAAGUCACAUAAGGCUAUUAUUUUUGUAGGGUUUUGUUUGUUUGUUUUCCCAAUUUAAAAACACAAUGCUUUCAAAAUCUAUUUGUAACCAUUUUAUUUAAUUGCUUUUAAAAAAUCUUGAGUCUUAGAAUGGAAAUGAAAAUCAGGUAAGAUACAAAAGUUACCCUGAAAAAUCAAACACUCACUGUGAUCAUUCUCACUGAACCUGAGUCAUUGCUCUUCCUAGAACUUCUCAUGCAAAUAUGUUUACAACUGCAUAUAUAUAGUUUCCAGAUUGUUUUAUUUUAAAAAGAUAUAUUUCCCCAUUCACUUCUAUUUUCUAAAAUAUCAGGAAAGCAUCUAAGAGUUUGCUUUGAAUUUGGGAGAGAAGAAGUCAAUAACUAGUCAACUUUUUUCAUGUCUUUUACCCAUAUUAGAAAUGAAAGAAGUCUACAAGUAAUGUUCUGCUAUGUUAUGCACCCUUGUUGUGGAAAGACCCUCUACCAUAAUAAAAACAAUGUUUACCUACGAAACUCUAGAAUUCAGCUUGACUGUAACAGAAAAAAAUAAAAAAAUUAAAAAAAAAUUAAAAAAUCUUCUGUACAUUUUGCUAUA
Non-coding RNA from Coturnix japonica (Japanese quail), 8650 nucleotides. NCBI's taxonomy places the organism in Eukaryota, Metazoa, Chordata, Aves, Galliformes, Phasianidae. The record is from RefSeq and is a predicted model, not a curated record.